RNAcentral lists this ribosomal RNA (1047 nucleotides) under Companilactobacillus alimentarius. RNAcentral describes it as "bacterial SSU rRNA". It matches the Rfam family "Bacterial small subunit ribosomal RNA", at positions 28 to 1040 of the family's 1533-position model. Lineage: Bacteria; Bacillati; Bacillota; Bacilli; Lactobacillales; Lactobacillaceae. The record is from RNAcentral.
GACGAACGCUGGCGGCAUGCCUAAUACAUGCAAGUCGAACGAACUUUCCUAUUGAUUGAUGCUUGCAUCAUGAUUUAGAUCUAAGUGAGUGGCGGACGGGUGAGUAACACGUGGGUAACCUGCCCAGAAGUGGGGGAUAACAUUUGGAAACAAGUGCUAAUACCGCAUAACAACAUUAAACACAUGUUUUUUGUUUAAAAGAUGGUUUUGCUAUCUCUUCUGGAUGGACCCGCGGCGUAUUAGCUAGGUGGUGAGGUAAUAGCUCACCAAGGCGAUGAUACGUAGCCGACCUGAGAGGGUAAUCGGCCACAUUGGGACUGAGACACGGCCCAAACUCCUACGGGAGGCAGCAGUAGGGAAUCUUCCACAAUGGACGAAAGUCUGAUGGAGCAAUGCCGCGUGAGUGAAGAAGGUUUUCGGAUCGUAAAACUCUGUUGUUGAAGAAGAACAUAUGUGAGAGUAACUGUUCACGUACUGACGGUAUUCAACCAGAAAGCCACGGCUAACUACGUGCCAGCAGCCGCGGUAAUACGUAGGUGGCAAGCGUUGUCCGGAUUUAUUGGGCGUAAAGAGAAUGUAGGCGGUUCAUUAAGUUUGAAGUGAAAGCCCUCGGCUCAACCGAGGAAGUGCUUCGAAAACUGGUGAACUUGAGUGCAGAAGAGGAAAGUGGAACUCCAUGUGUAGCGGUGGAAUGCGUAGAUAUAUGGAAGAACACCAGUGGCGAAGGCGGCUUUCUGGUCUGUAACUGACGCUGAGAUUCGAAAGCAUUGGUAGCAAACAGGAUUAGAUACCCUGGUAGUCCAUGCCGUAAACGAUGAGUGCUAAGUGUUGGAGGGUUUCCGCCCUUCAUUGCUGCAGCUAACGCAUUAAGCACUCCGCCUGGGGAGUACAAUCGCAAGAUUGAAACUCAAAGGAAUUGACGGGGGCCCGCACAAGCGGUGGAGCAUGUGGUUUAAUUCGAAGCAACGCGAAGAACCUUACCAGGUCUUGACAUACCAUGAAAAGCUAAGAGAUUAGUCUUUCCCUUCGGGGACAUGGAUACAGGUG